Manduca sexta (tobacco hornworm) is the source of this 646-nucleotide long non-coding RNA. RefSeq lists it as uncharacterized. The record is from RefSeq and is a predicted model, not a curated record. The transcript is spliced from 2 exons. NCBI's taxonomy places the organism in Eukaryota, Metazoa, Arthropoda, Insecta, Lepidoptera, Sphingidae.
GCAACGUCAUGUGUAUUACGGCAUGAAGGUUGUAGAAAUACCAUUUAGCCUCGUGUCAAAGCGUGCUACAUCAAAAAUAUUGUUUUUGAUUGCCUUUGUAGGCGAACGAGCAAGCGGUCCGCCUGAUCGUAAGCAGCAUCUGUCGCUCAUGGACUAAAGCAAUGCCAAAGGCACAGCUAAGCCGUUGUCUAUCGUAAGGUUGGCAUUUUUAAGCCUCGUUUAAAGAAGGACAAGUCAUAGCACUCGAAGAAUACCGAUGCAGGAAGUUGUUACCUGUUUUGUGAGUAUGCUGAAACAAUGUCAACGAGCACGCUUUUUAUUGUCAAGAGAAGCAAGUAACCCUUCUGGGAAUAGGAAAGGUCAAGUCAAAAGUAUCCAGGACUGGCGGGAAUGCAUGAAAAAAUUGAUGAAGGUGGAGGAAGCGAGAGAAGUAUGCCAGAAUCGUGCAAAAUGGCAAUCCAUAGUCUGCCUGCCCCUAUGGGAUAUAGGCGUGAUACAAUGUAUGUGUAAAUUUAUAUUUAAUAAAAAUGUUAUAUGUAAUUUCGACUACUAAUAAAUAUAAAUCAGUGUCAACAUAACAAAUAAUCUAGAAUACGAAAGUUUUAUGCAAUAUCUUUAAGCAAUAAAUAGUUGUAUUUACACCUAU